Long non-coding RNA from Ornithodoros turicata, 206 nucleotides. RefSeq lists it as uncharacterized. The transcript has 3 exons. The record is from RefSeq and is a predicted model, not a curated record. Lineage: Eukaryota; Metazoa; Arthropoda; Arachnida; Ixodida; Argasidae.
UGCAACAUGUUUCAAUUGUCUCAGGCUUUCAGCGUCCGCUCGUCAAUUACAGAACAAAGGAGGAUAUGAUUUUGCGUCGUAAGAGGUUUUUGCUGUUCGUUUCGAGCAGCGGCUGCGGUCUUGCGUCCCGUCAGGCCAUAAAAGAACAAAGGAGGAUAUCAUUUUGCGUCGUAAGGGUUAAGCUGUGUGAUAGAAGUGUGUGAUCA